UACAGAGGGCGCGAGCGUUAAUCGGAUUAACUGGGCGUAAAGGGCGCGUAGGCGGUUAUAUGAGUGUGAUGUGAAAGCCCUGGGCUCAACCUAGGAAGUGCAUCGCAAACGAUAUGACUGGAGUAUUGGAGAGGGUAGCGGAAUUUCCGGUGUAGCGGUGAAAUGCGUAGAGAUCGGAAGGAACGUCAAUGGCGAAGGCAGCUACCUGGCCAAAUACUGACGCUGAGGCGCGAAAGCGUGGGGAGCAAACAGG
This 253-nucleotide ribosomal RNA is filed under the name uncultured bacterium. RNAcentral describes it as "partial 16S ribosomal RNA". It matches the Rfam family "Bacterial small subunit ribosomal RNA", at positions 524 to 776 of the family's 1533-position model. The record is from RNAcentral.